GAUGGCGCCCCAGUUUGAUGUUUCUUUUGAGUGUACAUACACAUAGAAAAACUUCAAGGCAACCUAACAACAGAACAAUAAAUAGUGAAAGUUGCCAUGGUUGGAAAUUACAAGUCGUGUGCAGUGAAAAUUUUUGAUGUUUUCCAUCACUCCUCUUACGUGAUUUUCGGCGUAGAUAUAUCUAAUGUAUUCGAUUUUGCGGCAAAGGAUAAUAAUCACCGAGAGUAAAUGUGGAAAGGCUAGACUUUCUGUGGUGUUGUGCGGAAUAUCAAGUAUACCUUAAUCUAUCAACCUCUUGAGAGAAUAUUAUCUGAUUUUUUGACCUGGCAGUCGUGGAAGCGAUAAAUUAAAAAAUUUGUCAGAUUGUCGAUUUCAUUCCUCAAUUUUGCAUCAGUGUGAAGUGUCAUUUAUUUAUUUCUAAUAUUAUCAAAUAAACGAAAAACGGAUAUGAUACAGUAUAAAACUAGGGACAGAUCACUUGUGAUGCAUUUUUAAAAAUCAGCGAAAUUAAAUGCAUUUCUCGAGUACUUUUUCAAAUGGACGUAAGUAAAGCGGCCCUUACACGUUCAAUAUUUUCGUCAAUACGAGUAUUGACGAUAUUGUUACAAUAUUUCAGUCCCGUUUGAAAUCCACAUCGUCAAUAUUUUUUUUUCUAUUACACGUACAAUACUUUUGUCAAUACACUCUAGUAUUGACAAAAAUAUUGAACGUGUAAGGCCCGCUUAACAUUGAGAGCCUCUCUUUGUUUACUUUCUCUUUCGUUUAUUACGACGUCAUUACAACACUUUGUACUAAUUUUCCAAUACAUAUCGAAAGCCGACGGUUUUUACUACAAUAUUAUGCAAAGAGUAGAGUAGUAAAUGUUGAAAUAGCCGAGUAAUGAACAGAAGAGAAAGACCUCAAAGAGAAUCUCUCAUUGUUACUUACGUCCAUUUGAAAAAGUACUCGAGAUUUAUUUCCAUCAAAAUAGAAAUUCAUAAUGUAUUUUGCGUUGCGUGCAAUGUCUUUUGAGUUGCGUGUAAGACGUCAAAACCCUACGAAAAAACUAGCCCUACAUUCCACAAAACGUCGAACAAAGUGGAUCAGCGUAGGACGUUUUUUGAACAAACUUUUCUGCAAGGGAGUGCAAAGUUGAUGCAAAAAUGAAAAUUAAAUGCAUUUUUUCUAAUUUGAUGCAAAUUUUUUAUACAUUCCUAGAGUGAUCUGCCCCUAGGUAUAAAAUAAUAUCGUAUGGCAUAUUUUCAUCAAAUCGCAAUCUCGAAUAUAUACCCAGGUAACCAACAAGCAUUAGUGUAUGCAGUAAAGUAGCGUAAAAUUUGCAUUUCGGAUGCUUCUUGCAGUACGAUAGCAUUCGUUAUGCAUAACUGUUGUUAAUCAGCAUUAAAAAAACUGGUUGAAAACUUCUUGCCAGUAAGCAGCGUUCUGAAUGCACAACAGCUACAGCAGUAAAAAAGCAUUUUCAUGGCACAGCAGUAAUGUAGCCGUAUAUUUUGCCAAAAGCGACUUUUAAAUUGGCUCUCAAACGUGAAACUUAUCCGGUCGACGCGCCAACUAGAUUUCAUUAUUGGUACCAGUCAAAUGAUGAUAAAAAUAUUUUCUUGCAUUGAUGAUGUAGGACGGCUGUACUAUUUUAAUUGUUUUAAGAUAAACAAUACAUAGUUCCACAAAAAAAUAAUUACAGGUGAUAAGAAAAAACUCGUUCUUUCGUUUGGCACCAAAACAUCGAGUUGAACUCGAUAUUUUAUUGCGAAUUAUUGUGAUCUGGAAUUAUUUUUGUGUUGUUGAGGUUAGGUCGCUUGUUUUAGAUACGGGAAAUGUUUACUUAUAAAUUGGAUUUAUCAGUGGAUAAUCUCGACUUUCGAUACCUGUACUCUUUAAUCCAGUGAUUUUCGCCCACUAUCGUGUUUUUAUUGAGAUUUCAAUCUCUAAAUUUCAUUUUAGCAUAAACUGAAACCGGAAGAACGAAUUCUUAGUGGUGUAUCAAGAAAUUUACCAUCAAGAUAUUUUUCAAACGUAGGAAACAUAUUUUCUUCAUCAAUUUUUCUUUUCAUUAGAUGAAAUCACAUUUGAUUACAAUUUUGAUUGAAUUUAUAAAUUUCAAAAUUUAAUUUUCAAUGUGUUUUGACAGUUGAAAAUAAAAACAUCAUCAUUGCACCAAAUACAAAUUUGUAUUUGCAUUUGAUUGCACUUUCAUGCCAUCUUGCGGUCUACAUCCAGCUUUAGAUCGCGAAUAGCAUUUAAAAAGACUUAAGUGCAUAUCAAGUAGCCGUUAAGACGCAUUCAGCAUGCUCAUUGGUUACCUGGGUAAUUUAGCAAAAUACACAAACGUGCCUUAGUGAAACAUCGCUAGUAGUUUGCUGCCCAUAUAAGCAUAAGAGUCCUAUAUGGAUUUUGUCGAAAAUGAGAUUUCUGUUGGAUUGUAUUCUUUAUCACCACUGAAUCAUGCACAAAUAAGAUUACCAGAUGUGUUCAGAAAAUAUUGAAAAAAAUACCAAAACAUGGUUGUCCCAUCCAUAAGGCUCAAUGAAAAAUGUAAAUCUUGAACAGCGUUUUUCUCGGCUUGCUGUUCUUCAAUAUGGGACUCUUUUGCAUAUAUGGGCAGUUUAGCUACUAUUCGUUUAUCCAUGAGUUUCAAAUCAGAAUAAUCCUUUCUUUGAUUCGAUGCCGAUAGUGGAUUACUGGUACCGGAAGUUUUGUACUAUUGCGCCCACACUAACGGCAAGGAAACAAAGUUCCUAUACUGAGUUAGCGCCGGUAUUACAUUCCUCGAAGAGAAAUACAGUAAUAAAGACAAGCUGCGUUUUUUGAGAAACAUACGAUCCAGUUAAUAGAAAUUUAUAACAAGCUCGUUUAUCAUUUUCGAAGUUGUACCACAGACUAACAGAUAUAACUCUAUGAGGGAAUUCCCUCAAAAAACAUCGAUCCGACAAUUUUCCCAGAACACUAGCUCCACCUUUUAUUCACAGUCCCAAACACUCAUUUACUGGUGGGUUACCCCUCAGGUUUGGGAACAAUUUUUCACUAGUGGUCUAUCCUCCAUAUGCUUGUUCAUAUGUCAGUGGCGCCAUAAUUUCAAACCACAGACUAACAGACAUAACACUCAAAAACAAAGCUUCGUCCACUUUAACGGUCAUUUUAAAUAUAUUUGUAGUUGGGACUGUGGUCACAUUUGAAAUUAUGGCGCCACUGACAUAUGAACAAGCAUAUGGAGGAUAGACCACUAGUGAAAAAUUGUUCUCAAACCUGAGGGGUAACCCACCAGUAAAUGAGUGUUUGGGACUGUGAAUAAAAGGUGGAGCUAGUGUUCUGGGAAAAUUGUCGGAUCGAUGUUUUUUGAGGGAAUUCCCUCAUAGUGUUAUGUCUGUUAGUCUGUGGUUGUACUCUCAAGUUCGAUUUGUAUUGAUAUUAUACCGAGCAAACGAAAGCCCAUAAUUCUCCCAUGCCCAUGGUCCGAAUUCACCCCCAUUGCAUGGUGUUUUGAUAAUGUUUGAAAUGGGUUUAGCAUAUGAAAACACCAUCAGCAUGGUCUGGUAUAUCAUAUUUUCUGGUUUAUUCAUGGGCUUUCAAGGCCAUUUUAUAGUGUUUUGAUGGUUGUGAAAUUUGCUACGGAUCAUAUUCAUGGCAUUUCUAUGGGGUUCAAUCAACGUGUUUGAACCCAUGAGAAUUUUACUCGGAUAUUUCGUAUUUUGAAUCUAAUCACGGACUGAUUCCUUAAUAAUUUGAAAAUAUCGUAUUCCAUACAAUAAAAAACGCGAACUCAAAAUAACCAGCUACAGCAACUACCGAAUUUGACAGAAUUCAUACAGUGUUCUAUUUUGCCCCUAUUUCCAUUUUCAUUUGAUUUCUAAUACAUUUUACUUUGUCUAAAAAUACUCUACACUUACAACAUAAACGAGAAAAAGCUUUCACUUGUCCAGCGUCAAGAGUAUCAGAAACCAGGAUUACUAAUGCUGCAGCUUCUGAACCGUCAGCUUCUUAUCUAUUAACAGAUAACCGACGCAGAAAAAUUGUGU
Long non-coding RNA from Topomyia yanbarensis, 4013 nucleotides. RefSeq lists it as uncharacterized. NCBI's taxonomy places the organism in Eukaryota, Metazoa, Arthropoda, Insecta, Diptera, Culicidae. The record is from RefSeq and is a predicted model, not a curated record. The transcript is spliced from 3 exons.